This 240-nucleotide unclassified non-coding RNA is filed under the name soil metagenome. Its description in RNAcentral is "partial contains 5.8S ribosomal RNA, internal transcribed spacer 2, and large subunit ribosomal RNA". The record is from RNAcentral.
AAGACUAUAGACCUGCGGAGUACCUGCGGAGGGAUCAUUCGUGAAGCAGGCGCUCUGUCGCCCUUCUCUACCCUUCAACCAUGUGGUCUUCUGCCAUUGCCUCGGGGGGUUUGAAGCGGCCUCGGCCGUUGGGGCCCCUCGCUGGGCCCCGCCCCCCCGCGUUGCCUUGAUAUAAAGUCUUGGAGUGAUAUUUGCGUCUGAUCAGUCCGGUGGACAUAAUGAAAAUAAAACUUUUAACAA